AAUUAGAAAAAAGCCUAGAAAAACGUCCCAUUUCAUCUGCAGCAUCAAUUCUCAAUACUUGAGGCAGCCGUGCCUUCCUCCGCUGUCACCCACCAGUCGCCUUCCUCCGCCGACAGCCACCAUUCUCCAACCUCAGUUUCUUCUUUUUUUCAGUAGGUACUUCUUGAUCAAAGCAAGUUCUUGAAAUUCAACUACUACAUGGAUUCUCUAGUACGCCGUGGAUUACUAUUGCCGGGGACAAAGGUGCGGGACUUAAAUGCAAGGAUGCCGGUGAAGAUAGUUUUGUUGGUUCAGAACUUGCGAGGAGAAUAGCCAAGACGGCUCCCAUCAUUGGAGGUUCUGAGGCCUCUUCCCUUUU
This is a non-coding RNA of Sesamum indicum (sesame), 358 nucleotides long. NCBI's taxonomy places the organism in Eukaryota, Viridiplantae, Streptophyta, Magnoliopsida, Lamiales, Pedaliaceae. The record is from RefSeq and is a predicted model, not a curated record.